UGGUGACUGAUCAUACCCGCCAGCUGGCUAAUAUCAUAAUUAACGAAGUUGGUGCGACGUCUGCAAAGUUUAAUCGGAACAUUUACCAGCGAUGUGAUGGCAUCGUUACGAAGAUCACAAGGGACCUGGCCGUGACUUUUGCCCAAGGAGGAAUGGCAAAGCUGUGCAGGCGAAAUGAGAAAUUGCAAACUUGUUCAGCCAAA
Non-coding RNA from Oryctolagus cuniculus (rabbit), 203 nucleotides. NCBI's taxonomy places the organism in Eukaryota, Metazoa, Chordata, Mammalia, Lagomorpha, Leporidae. The record is from Rfam.